This 468-nucleotide ribosomal RNA is filed under the name uncultured bacterium. RNAcentral's name for it is "partial 16S ribosomal RNA". It matches the Rfam family "Bacterial small subunit ribosomal RNA", at positions 28 to 507 of the family's 1533-position model. The record is from RNAcentral.
GACGAACGCUGGCGGCGUGCUUAACACAUGCAAGUCGAACGGAAAGGCCCUGCUUUUGUGGGGUGCUCGAGUGGCGAACGGGUGAGUAACACGUGAGUAACCUGCCCUUGACUUUGGGAUAACUUCAGGAAACUGGGGCUAAUACCGGAUAGGAGCUCCUGCUGCAUGGUGGGGGUUGGAAAGUUUCGGCGGUUGGGGAUGGACUCGCGGCUUAUCAGCUUGUUGGUGGGGUAGUGGCUUACCAAGGCUUUGACGGGUAGCCGGCCUGAGAGGGUGACCGGCCACAUUGGGACUGAGAUACGGCACAGACUGCUACGGGAGGCAGCAGUGGGGAAGAUUGCACAAUGGGCGGAAGCCUGAUGCAGCAACGCCGCGUGCGGGAUGACGGCCUUCGGGUUGUAAACCGCUUUCGCCUGUGACGAAGCGUGAGUGACGGUAAUGGGUAAAGAAGCACCGGCUAACUACGUG